AUCUAGGGCCAUACCACAGGCAUGAUCUCCUCUGAUCUUGGAAGUUAAGCAGGGUUGUGCCUGGUUAGUAUUGGGAUGGGAGACAGCUGGGAAUACUGGGUGCUGCAGGCU
This is a ribosomal RNA of Nannospalax galili (Upper Galilee mountains blind mole rat), 111 nucleotides long. The record is from Ensembl. Lineage: Eukaryota; Metazoa; Chordata; Mammalia; Rodentia; Spalacidae.